Molecule: ribosomal RNA, 485 nt
Filed under: uncultured bacterium
Lineage: Bacteria
Description: partial 16S ribosomal RNA
Rfam family: Bacterial small subunit ribosomal RNA
Source: RNAcentral
GAUGAACGCUAGCUACGGGCCUAACACAUGCAAGUCGAGCGGCAGCAUGACCUAGUUACAGGUUUAUGGCGACCGGCGCACGGGUGAGUAACACGUAUCUAACCUGCCGAUUAUUCCGGGAUAGCCUUUCGAAACAAAGACUAAUACCGGAUAACAUAACGAGACGCCAUCUUCUUGUUAUUAAAGAAUUUUUAUAAUCGUUGGGGAUGCGUUCCAUUUGUUUGUUGGCGGGGUAACGGCCAACCAAGACCUCGAUGGAUAGGGGUUCUGAGAGGAAGGUCCCCCACAUUGGAACUGAGACACGGUCCAAACUCCUACGGAAGGCAGCAGUGAGGAAUAUUGGUCAAUGGACGAGAGUCUGAACCAGCCAAGUAGCGUGAAAGAUGACUGCCCUAUGGGUGGUAAACUUCUUUUAAAUGGGAAUAAAGUGGGCCACGUGUGGCUUUUUGUAGGUACCAUACGAAUAAGGAUCGGCUAACUCCGUG